UACGUAGGGUCCGAGCGUUGUCCGGAAUUAUUGGGCGUAAAGAGCUCAUAGGCGGUUUGUCGCGUCUGCUGUGAAAUCCCGAGGCUCAACCUCGGGCCUGCAGUGGGUACGGGCAGACUGGAGUGCGGUAGGGGAGAAUGGAAUUCCUGGUGUAGCGGUGGAAUGCGCAGAUAUCAGGAGGAACACCGAUGGCGAAGGCAGUUCUCUGGGCCGUAACUGACGCUGAGGAGCGAAAGCGUGGGGAGCGAACAGG
RNAcentral lists this ribosomal RNA (253 nucleotides) under uncultured bacterium. RNAcentral's name for it is "partial 16S ribosomal RNA". It matches the Rfam family "Bacterial small subunit ribosomal RNA", at positions 524 to 776 of the family's 1533-position model. The record is from RNAcentral.